GAGCUCGCCCGAAGUAGUAUAAUUAGGUUUUCUUCGCAAUCGCGCCUCAAAUCUCCCUUCGAUCUCUACAUCUAUCGUCCGUACGUACAAUCCUCUUCGUUGCAGAUCUUUACCCUAAUCGCUUUGGGAAUAUGUGGUGAGCUGCAUAAAUUGUUCCAAUUCGAGCAAAUUUUUGUAGAUUUUCUUUUAAUUUUUGGGGCGAUAUUAGGGUUCUCUAUACGGGGUUAGGGUUCAUUGGUGCUCGACUAUUUUUGUCAUCUUCUUAAAUUUCUUACUUUGCUCUUGUAAGCGGCUCCAGAGCACCCGUGUUGGUUAAUAGCGUUAGAGAGUGAUGCAUCAGCAAUUGGAGUUAAAGAUUAAAGCGACAUACGAUGGGCACUCUAUAGAAGAUUGACAGGGUUUACGAAGAAACCGCCAAGAACCAUGCAGGAAAUUUGGUUCUUACUUCAUGGAUCAAUUUUACAUGAUUUUAACUAAGGUGUGAGAUGCAGCAAUGCAAAAUGGUUCUUCUGUUGAAUCAAAUUGGUCAAAUUAUCUGACAUUCAAUACCUCUAGCCUUUACAAGCAAAUGUUAUUGUCUGAUGAAAACACCGAACAAUCAGUGGCAGAGCUGUCCCCAGGCAGCAUUUAGACAUGUUGGUGGUAAAUGUGGCAGCGGUGGUCGUGGAGCUUACACAUGGUUUUCUAUUUAGGAAUAAAAUUGACGGGCGGAGAGCGAGGCCGAAAGAAAAUGCCCACUCUUAAAGCCUUUUCCUAUCUGUUUGCUUAGUUAAGAGUAUCAUGCUGAGAAUGAAUUUGUUUUCAUUUGUUUUAUGGAUCUUUCUAGCUCCUGCUUUUUUGGGUACUUUGUUAGUUUACUUAUGCCACACUCUGUAAACAUGUGAUAGAUGGAUCCAAUUAUAAUAUCUUUUAGUUUCAUUUUUCUUUUUUAUUCGAUUGUAAAUUUCCUUUAAUUUUGGCACCCUCUCUCAAUGUGGAUGCGCAGAUACUUUCCUGAAGCUAUUCUUUGAAA
Molecule: long non-coding RNA, 1012 nt
Organism: Ananas comosus (pineapple)
Lineage: Eukaryota; Viridiplantae; Streptophyta; Magnoliopsida; Poales; Bromeliaceae
Exons: 4
Source: RefSeq, a predicted model, not a curated record